RNAcentral lists this ribosomal RNA (253 nucleotides) under uncultured bacterium. RNAcentral describes it as "partial 16S ribosomal RNA". It matches the Rfam family "Bacterial small subunit ribosomal RNA", at positions 524 to 776 of the family's 1533-position model. The record is from RNAcentral.
UACAGGGGGUGCAAACGUUGCUCGGAAUCAUUGGGCGUAAAGCGCACGUAGGCGGUCUGUUAUGUCGGAUGUGAAAUCCCGAGGCUCAACCUCGGAACUGCGUCUGAAACUACUCGACUAGAGUACUGGAGAGGGUAACGGAAUUCACGGUGUAGCAGUGAAAUGCGUAGAUAUCGUGAGGAACACCAGAGGCGAAGGCGGUUACCUGGACAGUUACUGACGCUCAGGCACGAAAGCAUGGGGAGCAAAAGGG